RNAcentral lists this ribosomal RNA (212 nucleotides) under uncultured bacterium. RNAcentral describes it as "partial 16S ribosomal RNA". It matches the Rfam family "Bacterial small subunit ribosomal RNA", at positions 524 to 733 of the family's 1533-position model. The record is from RNAcentral.
UACGGAGGGGGGCUAGCGUUGUUCGGAAUUACUGGGCGUAAAGCGCGCGUAGGCGGCUUUGUAAGUUAGAGGUGAAAGCCCGGAGCUCAACUCCGGGAAUUGCCUUUAAGACUGCAUCGCUAGAAUCAUGGAGAGGUUAGUGGAAUUCCGAGUGUAGAGGUGAAAUUCGUAGAUAGUUGGAAGAACACCAGUGGCGAAGGCGACUAACUGGA